UCCCUCUCAGGAUCACACCUGGAGAGUUUCCAGUACCCUACCAGUCUCGGCUAUGGGAGGGAGAGUGAAGCAGAGGCCUACCCAUUCCAGUCCUAGCUUGGGCAGUGGCUAGCGAGCAGAAGGCAAUCUGUUAUAAGU
Tachyglossus aculeatus (Australian echidna) is the source of this 138-nucleotide small nucleolar RNA. The record is from RefSeq and is a predicted model, not a curated record. NCBI's taxonomy places the organism in Eukaryota, Metazoa, Chordata, Mammalia, Monotremata, Tachyglossidae.